Long non-coding RNA from Taeniopygia guttata (zebra finch), 2537 nucleotides. The record is from Ensembl. Lineage: Eukaryota; Metazoa; Chordata; Aves; Passeriformes; Estrildidae.
UGCAACAUAGCGAUCCUACAAACAAACAAAAAAAAAGCUACAUAAAACCCUUUCAGCCUUAUGGACAUGGCAGCCCUUCAGAUCAUGGCAUCAGGAGAUUCUUCUUUGACACAUAUUACCAUAUAUUCUGAAGAUAAAUGCUGUUACCCUCAGCUUGCUUCUGCUUUGCUCUCUGGGCCUGGCUGGGGCUGGAACUGCAGAGAUGUCAGUGCAGAUAGGGCCUCCCAGAGGCUUAUGCUGGCCAGGAAAAUGCUGGCUGGGAAAAAGAUGUGCCCAAAUAAGAAGAGUCUGGAAGGAGUUUGUGAUGGUCUGUUAUUUCACUAUUAGCUAGGAGAUGUGAAAUUUCCUUUUCCGGAUGAGCACAUUUCGUGUUUUGCAUAAGAGAGCAAUUGCUUCUUGCAAGACUAAGCAUUUCUGCUAAUUUAAUGAGCUAUCCAUACAAAUAGACUGCAUUAGUCAUUGGACAGACCUUUUUCAAGUUCCACAAGCAUGUUUUAGACCUCUUGAUAAAGCCACUAGCAUGCUGGACUUCCGCAAGCAGAAAGACCUCCCGAAGUAUGCAAGUUAUUCCUGGCAUGUUGUAUUCUCAACAUGUCAAGGAAACAUGGAUUAUUUUUUACACAAACAGGCAAAUCAAAAUGGUUCCUUAGCAAGCUCCCAUGAAUAUUCUUGGACCCUGAGAAGGAAAAGAAUAAAGAAAAGUAAGAAAAAGAAUUGCUUCUGAAUUAGGUUUCUUAGAUGGACGUGUUGUCACACAUUCAGAAGUUCAUUUGCACCAAUUUGGACCUCUGAUGAAUGGUAGAGGGAGUGAAGGAUAAAAUAGAAAGAACAAACAAGGGCCAUUAAUUAAUCUGGAUAUUUUAUAUUUGAGUGGAUUUUUUUUGCCCAUACUGUGAAUUUAUCUUCAAAUGUAGACCGAGAUGAACUUGCAAACACUUUUGGAAGUUCUUUUAAUAGCUAUUGAUUGAAAGGUGAUGUGAAAGUGCUGAGAGGGAAAGGAUCUCUGGAGCUGAGUGGGCCAGUGUGGAAAGGACAGGCCAGCAUCUUGCUGGAAACCACAAAGCAGCACAGCAGCAAAACCCCUGGAGUGUCCUCAGCUCCCCUGACACUUUAGCACACAAAUUUGGCCUUAGGUCUCACAAACACUGGAGCUGUUUUGAAACUACCUGGGAAGGAUAACAAAUGCUAAGUGCAGUUUCUAGACAAAGACAGUAAGAUAUCACAGCUCUGGCCCCAGCUCGGUGUUUUAUGUCUGAGCUCGUGUUACCAUGCAGGGUCCCUAUGCAUUAAAUUGCCUCAGCCAAAACCCAGUUCUGACACUCACCAAAUAAUCCUGUGAUUUACCACAAUCCUAUGAUUAUGGUAAGACAAUAAAAAGUACUGCCUGACCUCAGCAUUUUUCCCAUUUCAGUGCAAAGGACUGUUUUUCCACACAGUGAAGGGAUUUUUAACAGAAAAGAGGUGUAAAGCAUGCAUAAACAGUGACACUUAAUGUGCAUCCUCAUCCAUAGCUCCUUCUGUGGGUCGUGUGGUUCCUGGUUCCAUGCUCAUGCUCAAAUUCAGGAGCAGCUCCUGCUGCUUGGGCUUGGUGCAGACUCAGCCAGCAGCCUUGAGCUUCAUUUUGGCCCAGCCACUGCCAUUAAUGCAAUGGUACCAAUAACGAUCAAUAAUGAUACCUUCACUCCGUGGGAGGGGUUUUUAUUGCAAGUACUUCAUCCCAGGAGAAACAGAAAAGGGGAAGAGGGGACUUUUGUGCAGCCAAAACCUGCAGCAAAGGGGUUCUGCUGGGUUUGGUGCUGCAGGGCUGGGAGCUGGACAUGAGCAUUCCUGGGGUCCCUUCCAGCUCAGCUCAUGCUGGGAGCUGGCCAUGAGCAUCCCUGGGGUCCCUUCCAGCCCAGCUCAUGCUGGGAGCUGGACAUGAGCAUCCCUGUGGGUCCCUUCCAGCUCACUCAUCCUGGGAGCUGUCAGUGGCUCCUCACCACAGGGACACUGCUGCUGUGUGAGGUGCAUUGUGGCUGCAGGAAAUCAAAGUUCACGCUGCCUUCUCUGUUUUCCUUCUAUUUUUCUAACCUUGCACCUCAAAUUUGCCCUCUCUCCUCUGACAGGCCUCAACAGGAAGCUUUGAGUGUGGUGAGAGCAGUGAGAGAAAAUAAGACAGUACCUCCGAGAUGUAAAAAAUACUACUGUUACUUCCUAUUGUUCAUCUGAAUCUCCACUCCUGAGAACUUGAGUUAAAUCCUAAAUUUUCCUUUCUUUUUAGGCAGAAUAUCCAGCAAGUUAUAAAAACAGCAUCACAAGGAGGUCCUAAGAUGGGGCUUGCUCCAGUUUUCCUGCUGAGCAUGUGUUUAGGAAUUGCUGCUAAAAAAAAUCAGAGGGGAUGGUAGUUCUGUGCUGUCACAUGGGCUGAUACAGCACAGAAUCUGCUUAGCAUUCCUGAAGGGAAAUUAUCCAGUGCUGCAACUCACAAUUUAUAAUUGGUUGCAUAUUAAUAGCUAAAAAAGGCAAUAAAAUCCGCUGUGUGUUUAAAAAAAAAAAAA